CACAGUACAUGCUAAAUAGAUAAUUAUUAUUAAAUGCCUGAAUCAACAAAAUUAGGGAUUAAUUAGAAUUUAGCAAAUGGACCUCCUCUGUCCAAAUCUUGAGAGAUAACCAGAGGGUAUAAAAUUGAAGGGGGUGAGAGAACCAAGUGGGGGCUGAGGGGAGGCAAAUUUGAUGUCCAGUCUUCCCUCUACAUUUUAGGCCAACAGGUUAGCCAAGCCUCCUGUCUCUGAUGGUCUGCCGUUGGAAUGAAAAAACAUGGGUAAGCAGAUGAUAUCAGGAUGCUUCCCUGUCAUCCCACAGGGACUCCAGUUUUUAUAAAGUGAAUUCUUUCUGACUAGCCUACAAAGUAAUUCAUCAGAAAUGAGACCCAGGCCUUUUUGGAACUGAGUCUUGUCCACCAGUGUUUAAGUGGCUAACUGGGUAGGAAAAUCCCAGGCUUGAAGCUUAAUUAUCUCAUGGUGAGAAGUCCCUCUAGUACCGGCAGGCAGGAGAGGCCUGCUCUUGGCCUGGAACAGGGGAAAUUUGUGGGUUAAGCCAAGUGUGUUUCUCUGAGAGAGGAUGAAAAGCUUAUUUGGAGACAACAGUAGCCCCAUGGAAUAAUGUUGGGACUCAAAUGGUUGGGGGCAAGUGGAGAGGGCUGGUGUAGAGCUAUUAAGGGAUUCCUAGGGCCCAUCAGUGGGAUCCUUUGUACAAGUCUUACCUGGAAACUGGAUAUGUAAAACAGAGCUUCUAUGAUGGAAUUAGAAAGAGGACCGAGAGUGCCCAAUGGAGGUCAAUCCUUCAUAAUCUUAACUCUGUGCUUUAUACUUUUCCAGUAACCCCCAUCCCUCACCUCAACAUCACUUUUGCUUUAGUACCUGCCUAUAUUUAAUUUCCUUCAUGUGCUCUCUAUUUGGCUCAGAAAAUCCUUCUCCAUUUCUGUGCUUUCAAACAAGUCACCUUUGAAGACCUUAAUCAAUCGUCACAUCUCCUGCAAAGCCUCCCCUAACUUGUUUUGGUUAGUCAUUCUAUAUUAUUUAUUCAUUUGUUCACCCUACACAUAUGAAUUUAUUAAACCUCUAUUGUGUAUGAGACACUGCUAGGCAUUGUGAAUAUAAUACAAGUCUACUAUGUACUCACUGCCAACUAGAUAUCCUUCCAUGUCUCCCUCUAAAAUUAAAAUGCUUAGCAUGCUUAUAUGCAUAGCCCGUGGACAUGGGCAAUAGGGUGGUGAAGACUUGGGGGUGAGUGGGUAGAGGCUGGGAGGAGGGGGAUAAACGGAAGACAUCUGUAAUACUAUCAACAAUUAUAUAUAUAUAUAUGCUUAGCAUGACUAACAUCAUCCUUAAUUAUCUGGCCCCUGCCUAGUUUUCAAGGCCUGCUCCCCAGCAUCUAUUUAUUUCACCACUUAUCUGUACCCAAGGACUUGAGUGCUCACUUAAUUUGGCUCUCUCUCAAGUUUCUGUUCCUUUGUCUGUGCAAUAUUCCCUUCUUGUCUACUUGAACUCCAACCAUCCUUUAACACUCAUUUCUGGAAGCAUUUUGUGUAUGAGGUCUUCUCUAAAGUAUCCCCCUAUUCUCACUUCAAAUCCAACGUAUCAGAUACUUCCUCUUUUGGGUCUACAUAGCAUUCCAUAUUUAAUUUAAUCUCAUACAAUAUUGCAAAUCUUUUGUUUGCAUACUUAUCUGCAUUUGCUAGUCAGCCACUUUAUGCAGAGACCUUAUUCUAUCUAUCUUUGUAAUCCGUCACCAAGAUAAAACCUGGCACAAAGUUGGUGCUUAAAUGUUGGCUAAAUGAGCAAAUGAAUACAUUUAUUUGAACAAAUUGGGUAUCUUAAUAAGGAUAUUAAAUGACAGAAGUGGGAACCUGAAUGGAUACUCUGCCUACUCCAUUAUUUUAACUAGUGUAAUUUUUAAUGUUGGGGGAUAAAUCUCUGACCCAAGGUAGGAAAAGUAAAUGGCUAAGAAGUGGGCCUUCUAAACCUCUACUCUAUAUUCCCCUUACUUGUUUCUUCAGUUGUGUCCCUUUUCUUGUGCUGAAAGGAAUUUUGAUAUCCCAGUAGAUACAAGUUGAAGAAGGCCAUCUUAGCUCUUCCCUGACCUCUUCUGGAAUGUCCAGGCUGGAGCACCAAACUGGUAACCAUGCUUGGGAAGUUUCUAUCGGCAUAUCUUCAAAUUCACUGUUCUUUCCUUGAUUGUGAUCAAUCUACUACGUCCAUCAAAGGCAUUCUUCAUUUCUCUGAAACAAGCUAGAGGAGGCUGGAGUUGGUUGUUUUCCUUCUCCCACAUUGGUUAGGCCAGGGGUGGGCAACCUUUUUGUGAGUGCGUGCCAAAACCAGCAAAAUCUGACUCAAAAUUCUUCUGCGUGCCAACCCUAAUUUUUUGAGAACAUG
Molecule: long non-coding RNA, 2373 nt
Organism: Myotis myotis
Lineage: Eukaryota; Metazoa; Chordata; Mammalia; Chiroptera; Vespertilionidae
Exons: 3
Source: RefSeq, a predicted model, not a curated record